Non-coding RNA from Anaerostipes hadrus, 106 nucleotides. Lineage: Bacteria; Bacillati; Bacillota; Clostridia; Lachnospirales; Lachnospiraceae. The record is from Rfam.
UUAUAAAAACAGGGAGCUUGUUAAACAGGCUGAGAGGAAAGUAAAACUUUCGACCUUUGAACCUGAUUUGGGUAAUGCCAACGUAGGAAACGAAGAUGAUAAGUCG